RNAcentral lists this ribosomal RNA (492 nucleotides) under uncultured bacterium. Its description in RNAcentral is "partial 16S ribosomal RNA". It matches the Rfam family "Bacterial small subunit ribosomal RNA", at positions 28 to 507 of the family's 1533-position model. The record is from RNAcentral.
GAUGAACGCUAGCUACAGGCUUAACACGUGCAAGUCGAGGGGAAACGACAUCGAAAGCUUGCUUUUGAUGGGCGUCGACCGGCGCACGGGUGAGUAACGCGUAUCCAACCUGCCCAUCACUUGGGAAUAACCUUGCGAAAGUAAGACUAAUACCCAAUGAUAUCCCACGAAGGCAUCGGAAUGGGAUUAAAGAUUUAUCGGUGAUGGAUGGGGAUGCGUCUGAUUAGCUUGUUGGCGGGGUAACGGCCCACCAAGGCAACGAUCAGUAGGGGUUCUGAGAGGAAGGUCCCCCACAUUGGAACUGAGACACGGUCCAAACUCCUACGGGAGGCAGCAGUGAGGAAUAUUGGUCAAUGGGCGAGAGCCUGAACCAGCCAAGUAGCGUGCAGGAAGACGGCCCUAUGGGUUGUAAACUGCCUUUAUAAGGGAAUAAAGUGGGUCACGUGUGACUUUUUGCAUGUACCUUAUGAAUAAGGACCGGCUAAUUCCGUG